Molecule: ribosomal RNA, 271 nt
Filed under: uncultured prokaryote
Description: partial 16S ribosomal RNA
Rfam family: Bacterial small subunit ribosomal RNA
Source: RNAcentral
UACGGAGGAUCCGAGCGUUAUCCGGAUUUAUUGGGUUUAAAGGGUGCGCAGGCGGGAGAUUAAGUCGGCGGUGAAAUUUUGCAGCUCAACUGUAAAAGUGCCUUCGAAACUGGUUUCCUUGAGUGUGGAUGAAGUAGGCGGAAUUUGUGGUGUAGCGGUGAAAUGCAUAGAUAUCACGAGGAACUCCGAUUGCGCAGGCAGCUUACUAAACCAUAACUGACGCUCAGGCACGAAGGCGUGGGGAUCAAACAGGAUUAGAUACCCCGGUAGU